Molecule: long non-coding RNA, 1382 nt
Filed under: Piliocolobus tephrosceles (Ugandan red Colobus)
Lineage: Eukaryota; Metazoa; Chordata; Mammalia; Primates; Cercopithecidae
Description: lncRNA (ENSPTEG00000002359.1)
Source: RNAcentral
AGACAAAAAAUGAAUGUUAACGCAGAAUGUAAAGGAUUAUUAAUAUCGCCAGUGUCUUACAGAAAAACCAGUAGUAGUAUAAAAGAAAUUAUAAAUUAUUUAAAUAAACAUUAUCCUUUAAAUAAAGAUAAAAUUUGUAUAAAUGGUGAUAGUAAACAUAACAAUGAAAAUGAGAAUGACAAAACUAACGGUAUAAGUAACGAAAAAACAAUUGACAUAAAUAAAAGUGUAGAAAAUAAUGAUGAAGAUGAAGAGAAAUUUAGUAAAAUGGAACAACAACUGAAUGAAGAGAUUAAAGAAGCUAAAUUAGAUUAUGAUCGAUUUGUACCUCUUAAAAAUAUCGUAAAACAUUUUACUCUUAUAAAAUUUAAUAAUGCAGAAGAAAAAACACCAUCAGAUAUUGUUCAUGACAUAUUUUCAGAAGCACAAACUAAAAAAGAAAAGUUUUUUUUUCAGGAAUAUAUGCAAAUUAAUGCCACUUGAUAAUAUUUGUAAACCACAUAUUACCAAUUUAAUAAAAAUAUUAUUACCAUUAUUAAAGGAUAAUUUUACCAAAAGUAUAUGUGUCGAGCAAAAUUUCACUUAUACUAUUUUAUUAAAUAUGUUAGGACUAACUGAGCAGUUGGUAAAAGAAAAUGAAGAAAAUGAAGAAAAUGAAGAAAAUGAAGAAAAUGAAGAAAAAGAAGAAAAGGAAGAAAAUGAAGAAAAUGAAGAAAAUGAAGAAAAAGAAGAAAAGGAAGAAAAAGAAGAAAAGGAAGAAAAGGAAGAAAAGGAAGAAAAAGAAGAAAAAGAAGAAAAUGAAAAAAAGGAAGAAAAGGAAGAAAAAGAAAAAAAUGAAGAAAAAGAAAAAAAUGAAGAAAAAGAAAAAAAGGAAGCUCAGUUAAAUGGGACAAACACGUUAAAAGAAAAUGAAAUUGAGAAAGAGAAGGAGGACGAGAAAAAGGAUGAGAACGUAGAAGUUGAAACACAAGAUGGUCAUACAAAAGAGAAUGGGAAGUGUGAGGAAGUGGUUAAAAAGGCUUCUGAAGUAGCAACAGUAACCAAAGUAGCAGAGGCAGAUAAAGCAGUUGAAGUACCCGAAAAAAAAAAAACCUAUGCGUUAAUAUAUAAAUGUACACGCAAUAAUACAUUAUCUAAAUCAAUAGUAAUAAAAGUGUUGGAUAAAUGUAUUGGAAAUAACUAUAAAGUAAAUUUGACUAAACCUGAUUUAGCAAUAUUUGUUUAUGUAACUGAGAUUAUGUGUGGAGUAAGUAUAGUUAAAGAUUAUGGUGACAUGAAAAAAUUCAACAUUUCUGCUUUUAAUAUCAAUUACAAUAACGAGGAUCAUUAGUUUUAAUUUUAUAAUUAAUAAACAGCACUUCUGUGCGAGUACUUUUUUUGGG